CCUACGGGAGGCAGCAGUGAGGAAUUUUCCACAAUGGGCGAAAGCCUGAUGGAGCAAUACCGCGUGCAGGAAGACGGCCUUCGGGUUGUAAACUGCUUUUAUUUGGGAAGAUUAUGACGGUACCAAAUGAAUAAGGAUCGGCUAACUACGUGC
This 153-nucleotide ribosomal RNA is filed under the name uncultured bacterium. RNAcentral describes it as "partial 16S ribosomal RNA". It matches the Rfam family "Bacterial small subunit ribosomal RNA", at positions 338 to 508 of the family's 1533-position model. The record is from RNAcentral.